This 444-nucleotide unclassified non-coding RNA is filed under the name Hevea brasiliensis (rubber tree). The record is from RNAcentral. Lineage: Eukaryota; Viridiplantae; Streptophyta; Magnoliopsida; Malpighiales; Euphorbiaceae.
CCUCAUUGUUUUCUCUAUGGUCCUCCAAUCGAAGCGAAUCCCAACAAAGAGGAACAGUAACGCUUGCAUCUUCCUCAUCAACGUCGUCAACAUUAUCAAAAUUAUCACUUCCUAUAUUCAAACGAUCUAAACCAUAUUCAUCCCCUGAAUGCAAAUCUAUAGAUAACGUGUUCUCGUUGUCCUCUGAAUCAGAAUCCGACCCAAACCCAACAACCCUCAUGGCACUAGUGCAAACGCUAACGGUAGACUCGGCCUCACAAGAUUGGAUUCCGGAAAUCCUUCUUUCCACAAAGAAAUCAUCAUCAUCCAUAACGAUAUUUGUGCUAUAAUCAUUAUUAUUAUGAAUAUGAUUAUGGCCUAUAUUUUGAAAUUCAUCAUUCUCGUGACCAUCUAAACCUAACCCUAACCCUAUAUCAAGUUCCAAAUUAUCGAUACCCAUUUCAC